This 339-nucleotide ribosomal RNA is filed under the name Dictyochloropsis sp. LMCC-AM02. Its description in RNAcentral is "SSU rRNA". It matches the Rfam family "Eukaryotic small subunit ribosomal RNA", at positions 1493 to 1831 of the family's 1831-position model. Lineage: Eukaryota; Viridiplantae; Chlorophyta; Trebouxiophyceae; Trebouxiales; Trebouxiaceae. The record is from RNAcentral.
GCGCGCUACACUGAUGCAUGCAUCGAGCCUAGCCUUGGCCGAGAGGCCCGGGUAAUCUUGGAAACUGCAUCGUGAUGGUGUCUAGAUCAUUGCAAUUCUUGGUCUUCAACGAGGAAUGCCUAGUAAGCGCGAGUCAUCAGCUCGCGCUGACUACGUCCCUGCCCUUUGUACACACCGCCCGUCGCUCCUACCGAUUGAAUGUGCUGGUGAAAUGCUGGGAUCGGUGGCAGUCGGUGGUCCGCCACCCGUUGCCGCUGAGAACAGCAUUGAACCCUCCCAUUUAGAGGAAGGAGAAGUCGUAACAAGGUUUCCGUAGGUGAACCUGCGGAAGGAUCAUUG